UGUUAUGGCGGCUGUGCGUGGGAGGCAUUCGUGCCUGCCGGGUUCCUUUUGCCCCGGUUUACCAACCUGCGCACAGCUGCCACCCAU
This 87-nucleotide non-coding RNA is filed under the name Pseudomonas brenneri. Lineage: Bacteria; Pseudomonadati; Pseudomonadota; Gammaproteobacteria; Pseudomonadales; Pseudomonadaceae. The record is from RNAcentral. RNAcentral also lists the same sequence under 1 other name.